RNAcentral lists this ribosomal RNA (2672 nucleotides) under Klebsiella pneumoniae. RNAcentral's name for it is "partial 23S ribosomal RNA". It matches the Rfam family "Bacterial large subunit ribosomal RNA". Lineage: Bacteria; Pseudomonadati; Pseudomonadota; Gammaproteobacteria; Enterobacterales; Enterobacteriaceae. The record is from RNAcentral.
CACUAUCGUUAACUGAAUACAUAGGUUAACGAGGCGAACCGGGGGAACUGAAACAUCUAAGUACCCCGAGGAAAAGAAAUCAACCGAGAUUCCCCCAGUAGCGGCGAGCGAACGGGGAGCAGCCCAGAGUCUGAAUCAGCUUGUGUGUUAGUGGAACGGUCUGGAAAGUCCGACGGUACAGGGUGAUAGUCCCGUACACCAAAAUGCACAGGUUGUGAACUCGAAGAGUAGGGCGGGACACGUGGUAUCCUGUCUGAAUAUGGGGGGACCAUCCUCCAAGGCUAAAUACUCCUGACUGACCGAUAGUGAACCAGUACCGUGAGGGAAAGGCGAAAAGAACCCCGGCGAGGGGAGUGAAAAAGAACCUGAAACCGUGUACGUACAAGCAGUGGGAGCACCUUCGGGUGUGACUGCGUACCUUUUGUAUAAUGGGUCAGCGACUUAUAUUCUGUAGCAAGGUUAACCGUAUAGGGGAGCCGCAGGGAAACCGAGUCUUAACUGGGCGUUAAGUUGCAGGGUAUAGACCCGAAACCCGGUGAUCUAGCCAUGGGCAGGUUGAAGGUUGGGUAACACUAACUGGAGGACCGAACCGACUAAUGUUGAAAAAUUAGCGGAUGACUUGUGGCUGGGGGUGAAAGGCCAAUCAAACCGGGAGAUAGCUGGUUCUCCCCGAAAGCUAUUUAGGUAGCGCCUCGUGAACUCAUCUUCGGGGGUAGAGCACUGUUUCGGCUAGGGGGUCAUCCCGACUUACCAACCCGAUGCAAACUACGAAUACCGAAGAAUGUUAUCACGGGAGACACACGGCGGGUGCUAACGUCCGUCGUGAAGAGGGAAACAACCCAGACCGCCAGCUAAGGUCCCAAAGUCAUGGUUAAGUGGGAAACGAUGUGGGAAGGCACAGACAGCCAGGAUGUUGGCUUAGAAGCAGCCAUCAUUUAAAGAAAGCGUAAUAGCUCACUGGUCGAGUCGGCCUGCGCGGAAGAUGUAACGGGGCUAAACCAUGCACCGAAGCUGCGGCAGCGACACUAUGUGUUGUUGGGUAGGGGAGCGUUCUGUAAGCCUGCGAAGGUGACCUGUGAGGGUUGCUGGAGGUAUCAGAAGUGCGAAUGCUGACAUAAGUAACGAUAAAGCGGGUGAAAAGCCCGCUCGCCGGAAGACCAAGGGUUCCUGUCCAACGUUAAUCGGGGCAGGGUGAGUCGACCCCUAAGGCGAGGCCGAAAGGCGUAGUCGAUGGGAAACAGGUUAAUAUUCCUGUACUUGGUGUUACUGCGAAGGGGGGACGGAGAAGGCUAUGUUAGCCGGGCGACGGUUGUCCCGGUUUAAGCAUGUAGGCUGGUUAUCCAGGCAAAUCCGGAUAAUCAAGGCUGAGGUGUGAUGACGAGGCACUACGGUGCUGAAGUAACAAAUGCCCUGCUUCCAGGAAAAGCCUCUAAGCAUCAGGUAACAUUAAAUCGUACCCCAAACCGACACAGGUGGUCAGGUAGAGAAUACCAAGGCGCUUGAGAGAACUCGGGUGAAGGAACUAGGCAAAAUGGUGCCGUAACUUCGGGAGAAGGCACGCUGGUGUGUAGGUGAAGUCCCUGCGGAUGGAGCUGAGACCAGUCGAAGAUACCAGCUGGCUGCAACUGUUUAUUAAAAACACAGCACUGUGCAAACACGAAAGUGGACGUAUACGGUGUGACGCCUGCCCGGUGCCGGAAGGUUAAUUGAUGGGGUUAUCCGUAAGGAGAAGCUCUUGAUCGAAGCCCCGGUAAACGGCGGCCGUAACUAUAACGGUCCUAAGGUAGCGAAAUUCCUUGUCGGGUAAGUUCCGACCUGCACGAAUGGCGUAAUGAUGGCCAGGCUGUCUCCACCCGAGACUCAGUGAAAUUGAACUCGCUGUGAAGAUGCAGUGUACCCGCGGCAAGACGGAAAGACCCCGUGAACCUUUACUAUAGCUUGACACUGAACAUUGAGCCUUGAUGUGUAGGAUAGGUGGGAGGCUUUGAAGCGUGGACGCCAGUCUGCGUGGAGCCAACCUUGAAAUACCACCCUUUAAUGUUUGAUGUUCUAACGUUGGCCCCUGACCGGGGUUGCGGACAGUGUCUGGUGGGUAGUUUGACUGGGGCGGUCUCCUCCCAAAGCGUAACGGAGGAGCACGAAGGUUAGCUAAUCCUGGUCGGACAUCAGGAGGUUAGUGCAAUGGCAUAAGCUAGCUUGACUGCGAGCGUGACGGCGCGAGCAGGUGCGAAAGCAGGUCAUAGUGAUCCGGUGGUUCUGAAUGGAAGGGCCAUCGCUCAACGGAUAAAAGGUACUCCGGGGAUAACAGGCUGAUACCGCCCAAGAGUUCAUAUCGACGGCGGUGUUUGGCACCUCGAUGUCGGCUCAUCACAUCCUGGGGCUGAAGUAGGUCCCAAGGGUAUGGCUGUUCGCCAUUUAAAGUGGUACGCGAGCUGGGUUUAGAACGUCGUGAGACAGUUCGGUCCCUAUCUGCCGUGGGCGCUGGAGAAUUGAGGGGGGCUGCUCCUAGUACGAGAGGACCGGAGUGGACGCAUCACUGGUGUUCGGGUUGUCAUGCCAAUGGCACUGCCCGGUAGCUAAAUGCGGAAGAGAUAAGUGCUGAAAGCAUCUAAGCACGAAACUUGCCCCGAGAUGAGUUCUCCCUGAGACUUUAAGUCUCCUGAAGGAACGUU